Molecule: ribosomal RNA, 408 nt
Filed under: uncultured bacterium
Lineage: Bacteria
Description: partial 16S ribosomal RNA
Rfam family: Bacterial small subunit ribosomal RNA
Source: RNAcentral
GACGAACGCUGGCGGCGUGCUUAACACAUGCAAGUCGAACGAAGUGGCGAAAGGGUGAGUAACGCGUAAUAAACAUGCCCUUCCGCGGGGGACAACAGUUGGAAACGACUGCUAAUACCGCAUACUGCAGGAGGGGAUUGCGUCUGAUUAGCUAGUUGGGGGGGUAAAGGCCCACCAAGGCGAUGCCCAGUAGCCGGUCGGAGAGGAUGAACUGCAACAUGGGGACUGAGACACGGCCCAGACUCCUACGGGAGGCAGCAGUGGGGAAUCUUCCGCAAUGGACGAAAGUCUGACGGAGCAACGCCGCGUGAGUGAUGACGGCCUUCGGGUUGUAAAGCUCUGUUAAUCGGGACGCGGUACCGGAAUAGAAAGCCACGGCUAACUACGUGCCAGCAGCCGCGGUAAUUC